AGAAACUUAGGAUAACUGAACUUUAAACCGAAGGCCUUCAAAGCCUUAAAUAAGAGUUAAAACUCUCUUAGUUUCUG
Molecule: transfer RNA, 77 nt
Filed under: Crypturellus cinnamomeus
Lineage: Eukaryota; Metazoa; Chordata; Aves; Tinamiformes; Tinamidae
Description: tRNA-Trp
Rfam family: tRNA
About the family: Transfer RNA (tRNA) molecules are approximately 80 nucleotides in length. Their secondary structure includes four short double-helical elements and three loops (D, anti-codon, and T loops). Further hydrogen bonds mediate the characteristic L-shaped molecular structure. tRNAs have two regions of fundamental functional importance: the anti-codon, which is responsible for specific mRNA codon recognition, and the 3' end, to which the tRNAs corresponding amino acid is attached (by aminoacyl-tRNA synthetases). tRNAs cope with the degeneracy of the genetic code in two manners: having more than one tRNA (with a specific anti-codon) for a particular amino acid; and 'wobble' base-pairing, i.e. permitting non-standard base-pairing at the 3rd anti-codon position.
Source: RNAcentral